RNAcentral lists this ribosomal RNA (279 nucleotides) under uncultured bacterium. Its description in RNAcentral is "partial 16S ribosomal RNA". It matches the Rfam family "Bacterial small subunit ribosomal RNA", at positions 506 to 784 of the family's 1533-position model. The record is from RNAcentral.
UGCCAGCCGCCGCGGUAACACAGAGGGCGCAGACGUUGCUCGGAAUUACUGGGCGUAAAGCGCGUGUAGGCUGACCAGCAAGUCGGGCGUGAAAUCCCUGGGCUCAACCCAGGAACUGCGUUCGAAACUGUUGGUCUUGAGUAUCGGAGAGGGUAGCGGAAUUCCCGGUGUAGAGGUGAAAUUCGUAGAUAUCGGGAGGAACACCAGUGGCGAAGGCGGCUACCUGGACGAUUACUAACGCUGAGACGCGAAAGUGUGGGGAGCAAACAGGAUUAGAUA